This 371-nucleotide ribosomal RNA is filed under the name uncultured bacterium. RNAcentral describes it as "partial 16S ribosomal RNA". It matches the Rfam family "Bacterial small subunit ribosomal RNA", at positions 338 to 706 of the family's 1533-position model. The record is from RNAcentral.
CCUACGGGAGGCAGCAGUGAGGAAUAUUGGUCAAUGGGCGGGAGCCUGAACCAGCCAAGUCGCGUGAGGGAAGACGGUCCUAUGGAUUGUAAACCUCUUUAGGCGGGGAGCAAUGCCGGGCACGCGUGCCCGGAGGGAGAGUACCCGCAGAAUAAGCAUCGGCUAACCCCGUGCCAGCAGCCGCGGUAAUACGGAGGAUGCGAGCGUUAUCCGGAUUUAUUGGGUUUAAAGGGUGCGUAGGCGGGUUUUUAAGUCAGCGGUAAAAUGUCGGGGGGCAACCCGGGCCGGCCGUGGAACAGGGGGGAUGAGAGAGGGAGAGAAGGAUGCGGAAUGCGAGGGGGAGAGGUGAAAGGCAUAGAUAUCGAGCAGAA